This 296-nucleotide ribosomal RNA is filed under the name Candidatus Midichloria mitochondrii. RNAcentral describes it as "partial 16S ribosomal RNA". It matches the Rfam family "Bacterial small subunit ribosomal RNA", at positions 523 to 818 of the family's 1533-position model. Lineage: Bacteria; Pseudomonadati; Pseudomonadota; Alphaproteobacteria; Rickettsiales; Candidatus Midichloriaceae. The record is from RNAcentral.
AUACGAAGGGGGCUAGCGUUACUCGGAAUUAUUGGGCGUAAAGCGUGCGUAGGCUGCUUAGUAAGUCAAAAGUGAAAGCCUUGGGCUCAACCUAAGAAUUGCUUUUGAAACUACUAAGCUUGAGUACUGUAGGGGGUAGCGGAAUUCCUAGUGUAGGGGUGAAAUUCGUAGAUAUUAGGAGGAACACCGGAGGCGAAAGCGGUUAUCUGGACAGUCACUGACGCUGUUGCACGAAAGCGUGGGGAGCAAACAGGAUUAGAUACCCUGGUAGUCCACGCUGUAAACGAUGAGUGCUA